UUUAGCAUUGAAUUAAUUAAUUGCAGUUUGACAUUUAUACAACAGGGGUCAUCCUGGUGAUCUUGGAGGUGUUUCAGUGCUGACCCUCAAGGCUCUACUGCCUCUUCUUCUUCUUCUUCUUCUUCUUCUCAGGACCUCUUCAACUCUGAAUACCUGCCCAGUUCUCACAAUUACCACCCAAAUUCUAUUGUAUGCUCCCAAGUGAAGGCAUCAUCCAGUAUCAUCCAGAGGGCAACUGAUAUCUAGACUUUCUUUCUGCUUAUUUUUCUGUUAAUCAGGACUAUAGCCUUGCCACUGUUUGCUUGAAGUCGGACUUCUUGAUGGAAAGUUUGAAAGUGGGUGUCUUGUUACUGUCCUCGAACAAAAAAGACAAUGCCUCUGCUACAGUGUUCAUCAUUCCUGCCCAAAAAAAGAAAUCUAAGAUUAAAAUUUAAAAGGGAGAGAUCCAUAUGGUCCAAAGCCUAACCAAACCUUCUGUAGUUUUAGUAGAAUGAUUGGUGAGCAUUGGAGCUAGCUAAAAGAUUUCUGACAAAGUGGUAAGAUCAUGUCUGUGAAUUUUAAUUAAUUUAUUGAUUUCUUCUUUCUCGAUCUCAAAAGGCAGGCACUAACCUGUGCGAGGUGUAUGUGAAGCUGUGAAACUGUGCCACACAAAGGUGGACAUGAUAAACCUUAUAAACAUGACAUUUAUUUAAUUAUCUUACCACUUUUG
This is a long non-coding RNA of Ziziphus jujuba (common jujube), 709 nucleotides long. RefSeq lists it as uncharacterized. The transcript is spliced from 3 exons. The record is from RefSeq and is a predicted model, not a curated record. NCBI's taxonomy places the organism in Eukaryota, Viridiplantae, Streptophyta, Magnoliopsida, Rosales, Rhamnaceae.